UGCUGCUGAAGAUUUUUGGCUAUGAGGAUGGGUUACAUUACACAGAGGACAGCUCCCCCAUCUUACAGCUUCCUCUACCUACUUUCUCUGUCUUGCCUUUCUAGUCCUUCUUUUCCUCCAGCACUACCACCUUCCCCUGUGGCCCCAACAUUUCUAUCCCUCUGUUUUGUAGAGCCAUUCUGCUGCCCACUCUGGAGCUGGAGAAGGCCAAACUGCACCUGCAGAUCUCAGCCAACCAAGGAGGUCUUUCCCAGAGUCAUGGGACUCAAGUUUGUCCAUUUUGUCUCAAACAUCAUUAGGAAUGGAUGUAACAGAAAAGCAUCUUGUCAGCUCCUGUUUACUACCCAAGCCUGCCACAUUGAGCCUCUACUCAGUGCCGGCACUGGGCCAGGCCUUGCAGCCACAGAGACAGUAAAGCACCACAGUCUAAAGCCAAAAAACAGACACGUAAACAAAUAGUGAUGCAUGAAGGGGAUCGAACUCGGGUCUUUGCGCUUUCAAGGCAAGCGACAGAACCACUGAGCUAAAUCCCCAGCCCCACAUAAUGACUUUUUAAUUCAAAUGGAUUUCAUAUGUGGUGGUGGUCCUAUAAGAUUGUAUUGCCUAAUGUCCUAGCCAUCUUAAUAUGUGUAAAUAUACUCUGUGAUGUUUUCACAUGAUUAAAUUACCUAACGG
RNAcentral lists this long non-coding RNA (675 nucleotides) under Heterocephalus glaber (naked mole-rat). Its description in RNAcentral is "lncRNA (ENSHGLG00100046366.1)". The record is from RNAcentral. Lineage: Eukaryota; Metazoa; Chordata; Mammalia; Rodentia; Bathyergidae.